RNAcentral lists this ribosomal RNA (322 nucleotides) under uncultured Chloroflexota bacterium. RNAcentral describes it as "bacterial SSU rRNA". It matches the Rfam family "Bacterial small subunit ribosomal RNA", at positions 28 to 351 of the family's 1533-position model. The record is from RNAcentral. Lineage: Bacteria; Bacillati; Chloroflexota.
GAUGAACGCUGGCGGCGUGCUUAAUACAUGCAAGUCGAACGGAGGUAUGUAGCAAUACGUAUCUUAGUGGCGAACGGGUGAGUAACACGUUGGUGACCUACCCCAGAGAGGGGGAUAACAGCUCGAAAGGGCUGCUAAUACCCCAUGCCGUCAUGGCGUUUAGAAAGCCAUGCCGAAAGGUGCAAACCGCUCUGGGAGGGGCCUGCGUCCCAUCAGCUAGUUGGUAAGGUAAAGCUUACCAAGGCGAAGACGGGUAGGGGGCCUGAGAGGGUGACCCCCCACACUGGCACUGAAACACGGGCCAGACACCUACGGGAGGCUG